This 323-nucleotide ribosomal RNA is filed under the name uncultured eukaryote. RNAcentral's name for it is "partial 18S ribosomal RNA". It matches the Rfam family "Eukaryotic small subunit ribosomal RNA", at positions 1470 to 1796 of the family's 1831-position model. The record is from RNAcentral.
CCCUUAGAUGUUCUGGGCCGCACGCGUGCUACACUGAACGGUUCAAUGGGUAAGGUAGUGCGAAAGCAUGACCUAAUCUCGAAAUCCGUUCGUGCUGGGGAUAGAAGCUUGCAAUUAUCCUUCUUGAACGAGGAAUACCUUGUAAGCGUGAGUCAUCAUCUCGCGCUGAAUACGUCCCUGCCCUUUGUACACACCGCCCGUCGCUCCUACCGAUUGAGUGUUCCGGUGAGGCUUUGGGAGAAUGGCCUCAACAUGAGUUUAUCGUGUUUUGCCGUUUGAACUUAGUCAAACCUUAUCACUUAGAGGAAGGAGAAGUCGUAACA